CCACAGCUCACCUACCUUCGCAUGCAUACGGCUCAGCCCUGGAGAUUCAGGACGAGGCGUCCCGCCAUCGAGUCGGGCCACGCGCCUAGCGGGGCUCCUCUCGCUCUUCCCCCGGAUGCGCGCUGCUCCACCGGCGCCACACGCACCUGCGUGGGCUGCACGCGUCGCACCAGGCGGGGCAGCGCCCAUGAGCCCGUUCCACCACGGCACUGCUGCCUGAGGGAGGGAGGGAGGCGUGCCUGGAUGGCCUGCCCGCGUGUGCCGCCACGCCCGCCAGUGUCUCCGGCGCAGCGCCAGCGCAGCCCUCUGCCCCGCCCACACCAACAGUCCGCAGCCAGCACCCAGGGCCAGGCUGCAGGCCGCUUGGCGUCCCCCACAGAGUGGUGUACGGAACCCUUGGUGCCACGCGCUGACGUAGCCCGCUUCCCCUUCAUCAGGGCAGAGGUCGAGGUUGACAGCGACGAGCUCGAUGCGUUUUCGCGAAAGCAUCCGUUGCUGCGGAGCAGCGCGUCGGAAGUCGUGUGUCUUUAGCUCCGCUGAAACGCCGGUUGCAUGCCCAUGCAUCCCCUCGACUCUCUUUAUUUUUUUUUUUUGCUUUGCCAUCUGGUUAG
Molecule: unclassified non-coding RNA, 611 nt
Filed under: Leishmania donovani
Lineage: Eukaryota; Euglenozoa; Kinetoplastea; Trypanosomatida; Trypanosomatidae
Description: gene:unknown
Source: RNAcentral